CGAACGCGGAUUAGCCCAAACCAAUAAAGUUUUCUUUAUCGGGGUUGCGGACAUAUCAUAACGAAGAGGUAUCGUAAUUGAAGAGGUUUGGAAAGACCCACCACAGAAGGUAAUAGUCCUGUAUGUUAAACGAGAAGACUUUAGAUAUGAUCCAGAGUACCACGGGACACGUGAAACCCUGUGGGAAGCAGGAGGGACCACCCUCCAAGGCUAAAUACUACCUAGUGACCGAUAGCGUAUAGUACCGUGAGGGAAAGGUGAAAAGAACCCCGGGAGGGG
This 279-nucleotide ribosomal RNA is filed under the name Clostridioides difficile. RNAcentral describes it as "partial 23S ribosomal RNA". It matches the Rfam family "Bacterial large subunit ribosomal RNA", at positions 254 to 536 of the family's 2925-position model. Lineage: Bacteria; Bacillati; Bacillota; Clostridia; Peptostreptococcales; Peptostreptococcaceae. The record is from RNAcentral.